UUUCCAGAGGGGUGAAAAAGUUUCUGUACCCCCACUUCACCUUUAGGAUGGUUUCUAGUCACAAUGCACACGGGAAAACCCCUGCCAACUGACAACACACAGCAGCCUCCAGUAACCCAGGUCAGGCUUGAAGACGCUGAAGAAAAUGCCUGUAAGUAAUGAACUGCUUGUCUUUUAAUGCCUGUUGAGACUUCACUGUUACAGAGUUAGAUGACCAGCUCAGAUGUACACAUCUCUGCUGCUGACACACACAUGAGAAGCCCAUCUAUUAAGACAUCUAUAUACCCGG
Manacus vitellinus (golden-collared manakin) is the source of this 289-nucleotide long non-coding RNA. RefSeq lists it as uncharacterized. The record is from RefSeq and is a predicted model, not a curated record. Lineage: Eukaryota; Metazoa; Chordata; Aves; Passeriformes; Pipridae. The transcript has 3 exons.